CUUAUGGAUCAAAUCCACGCUGAUGUCUAACCUGUAAUGAGUGCCAAUGUUUUGACCUUUCAAUAGAGAGCUGAUUUUGGAGAAUGGCUUACUCCUGUGAUUGAAAAACUCUCUGGAAGGUUGAUGGAGCAUGAGCAUGCUUGAUUUUUGGCCCUAAAUCAAAGAGAUAAGUUCUGUCAUUAACAUUAAAGCUGUCUUCAGAAUUUUGUUUAUUUGAACAAAGCAAGAACAAAUGUGUAAGUACCAGCAAAGUGCAGACCAGUAUUGCAAUAUUGGUCUGUUCUGUCUUUAAGCAGGUGGUUUCAUGUGGCAGGCUGGAAGAGAGACUCUUUUUCUUCCCAGCUUUUGACAAAAAGAUGACGCAUAUGACUCAGAAUUAGAAGGGGAAAUCUGCCAGUUUGCAUCAGUUCCUUAACUUGUGGGCUGCUAUUCACCACAAGAAGAAUCAGUAUACUCGCACCAGUGCUUCUUGAGAGAUGAGGAGUAAUCGUUUCCUUCAAAAUGUGUAGGAUGAUUGGAGUAGGCCUUUCAUAUGUUACACUAGGCUUUUCCUAUAUCAAGGUAUUUUUCAAUUAUAUUUAAAGAAUAUAUAUUUAUAGGAAAAAAUUAAAAGAAUAUAUUUUUAGACAGAAAUAAAUUCAUAUUGUUUUAUUAAAUGCCACAUUUAAUAAUUUAUAUAGGAACCAGUUAUUAUAGCUUAAUGUAGAUCCAAAGCAAAGCCAUUUGUUUUGUGAAACCUCUGUUUUGUUGGCACUGAAACUCAGCUGUUAUAGAUCUCCAGAAUCGAAAGGUAAGGGGUUUUUUUUUAUAUUUUUUUUACCUAAUUCUACAUAUCUGAAUCUCCAGUUUCAGCUUUUAAGUACAUUAGUAGGACUGAAAAAAAAAAAAAAAUUAAAACAGUAACUUCGAAGACAGAAGCCAUCUAUUUUGAAGGGGAAGAUAAUUACUUCAAGUAUGGAAGAUCUGUAUUUUCAAAAUGUCUUGCCUCAGACUUAUAAAAGAUAAUGCAGAGAAUUCUGAUUGUUUCAUAUAGGUUUGGAUUACAGUGGAGAGACACUUCUUGCAAUACUGAUGUUGCUCAAAGAGCAUACUGCAUUUUUAUAACUUUUGUCUUAUAACUUAUUUUAAAAAAUUCAGAUGCUAGUUUUCAGAGAUUUAACAUCUUUUAUAUUUGUGGGUAUUUAUUAGUCUGAGAAUAAAAUUUUGGGUUUUUUUUAACUACUUGUGUUACUUUAAGUAUUGGAUUAUAAAUCUUUUUUCUUAAUAUAUUAACAUCUAGUUAAUUCAGUAUGGUUUUACUUUAUAGUUAAUGAAGUAUUGAAAAUCUAACUUAAUAUAAAGCCAUAAGAAGCACACAGCAUCCUUUUUUUUUUUCUUUUCUUUUCUGUUGGAUAAAGUUCCUUUUGUUUGUCAAAACUGUUGUUACUGUUUUUGUAAAGCAUGUUCUAAGUGAAGUUUGUUUUCUAGCUGGAAAAAUGAAAUUCACUGCUUAUCGAUCUGCGUCAGCCUUAGAAAGCACCAUUUUAUUUUGUUUUAGCUCAGUUCUGUGAGUAGUGGGUAUCAUUGAUGGAAAGUGGGGAACCAAACAAGAAAUGUUUUUGAAAGGGAGUGCACAGAUCUGUGUGUUAGAUUAUAUCUAUUAGAAUUAGUAGUAUUCUAGUAAUAUUUCACAGAGAGGUGGGGGAAAGAUUACUGCUCCAGCUACCCACUGAAUAAACAAUAAGGUAAUACAGACCAGGAAUCUGCACCCCAAAGGUACUGUGGACAUCUGAAACUUCUGCUGAAGUGACUAAAUAAUGAAGUUGCAGAAAUAUUGCUUACAGCUAGAAAAGUAGCAGUUACUAGGAGUUGUUCUUCUGCUAUUAACUAGUGGAUUCCCUUAAGCUGAUUUGAUGUCUUCAAACAGGUCAGUCUCACCUUUCAUAAGUCAUGCUGUUGUCUGGCAUUUUAUAGAAGUCAUGUAGUGAUGAUGUUAAGAAAAAGACAAAUUUACUGCCUGAGCCAGAAGGCAGGCUUACAAAAAGCAACUUCUUUCAGGACACGAAAAGCUCUUUGUUCUGUGGCCUUGGUCUUUUUGUGCUUUGACCCUUAUUUUAUAGCAUUGUCACUCUGACCUUAAAUCUUUGAAAGCAGACAAGCAGCAAAUUUAGCCCUUUACAAGUGGGGUUUCGUUCUGAGCUAUGAGCCUGGUUUUUAUCUUUAGGCAUUAUAGUCCCAUACAAUACUGAGAUGUAACAAAAUCUCAAUUUAGGAUUUGUGGUUUGGCAUAGUGUAAAUAGUUAUUAUUUAUAUAUAAGGCAAUUAAAAAAAAAUGUUGCUCUGUUACUGGCCUAUGAUUUGUAAUUAUUUACCAAUUAGAGAUAAGACAGCAACUAGGAAGGCAGUCUGGCUAAUACUGACCAACAUGUUUUUCACUUUCCUAGAAGUACUUUGGAAAUUGAUCCUGUGCUCAGACCCACCAGGAUUUCUGCAAAAGUGACUUGAAUAUUCUGUUGAGGACAAGAAAUGCUUUGCUGUACAUUGUAGAGUUAGGAUUUAAAUAGAAAUAUUUGCAUGGUCUUCUUUCAUAAAAGACUGUGCCAGCUUAGGGAGGACAAAAUUUUACACGAGGCCUGUGACUGUUACAUGAGCAAGUCUUCUGAGACCUUCAUAAAACUAAUUUUUUUUUUUUUUUGUAUGAAAGCAGAAAUUAGUGAAUAUAAUAGAGAACCAAUAGUUUAUAUAUUUUAAAGGUUUUUUAAAAAAAUUUAAUAUGUUUGAAAGGAGAAUCUGUUACCCUGUCUUAAUAACUUUACAUUAUAUAGCUGGUUUGCAUUGUAGAGUUACUGUUGUUUGGAGAGAGAUUGUCACAUUUUCUUUUAUCACUAAUGAUUCUAUAUACUUCAGGUUUUGGGAAGCUUUAGCUGUAAUAAUAGGAUAAACUCUUCUGAAUGUAGUAGUGUAAUAAUCUAAGUCUGCGUUUAUUGGAGAACUUGAAAAUAUUUAUCUUUUUAAUUUUUUUUAAUCUGAAAAUGUGUUAGAAAUUUUUUUUAAUACUCAUACAGAAACUGAGGAUUAUAUUUUAGACAGAUCUGGCUUUCUUUCUGAUGGAUCCACUAUAUUUUGUUUUAAUAAUUUUUGUGAUAAAAUUAGGGAGAAAAGAACAUUUUAAUUACUACUACAAUGAAAUAUAAAACUUACUUUGUAGAACUUAGAAAAUAGCUUCAUUUUUCUUAAUUUUGUAUGUGUCCUUUCAAGCAGAAAGAAUGCUGGUACAGAUUGAAAGUGUUCACACAGUUUUUCUUCCUGUGUGCUUGCCAAAGGUGCAGAGAAGACAGAUUUUUAGAAGUUGUGUGCAGGCUAUACCAGUGCAAAGCUGGAAAGCUUUUCUGAAGUGCAACUUUUACAAACUCUGCUAGAACUUGGAGCUUGUUACACUUUACAAGUUCCCUGUAAAGUGUUUCAUAUAGCAAUCUAGUUAAUGCAUCAACUUCUGACAAAACAUUUCUUAGAAGCUGGGAAAAGAGGUGGGGAGGGGUUAGUCUUAUUCAGUUUUAUUUUUAAGCUACGGUUGAUUCUAAAAUACACUGAUAAUAUACCUAAAAAAUCCCUAUGCAUUGAUAAAUUUUUUGUGUGUGGUAUCAGCUUCCCAUAGUUAUGCUUUUUUUAGCUAGCAAGCUAUAAAAAUUGAUAUACUGUACUUGUUUAAGUCAGAACUAACUACCUUUCUUGCCUUUCACAGAAAUCCACUGCAUUCUAUUUGCUAUUCAUGACUCCAAUAGAAGCAUCAGUAUUGCAGAACUAAGUAACAGUCUUCACUUUGGUUUGUCUUCCUGUGGCAAUCAGCGGGGGGGGUGUUCCUCAUACAAAUUAAUACACGAGUCAAGUUAGUAUAAGCAGUAGUGUGAGUCUUAGAUUAAGUAAAAAGGAUGUAAAAUAGAAUUUUAUGCUGAGAGCCCUUAACUGCACUUCUAAAUUUCCAGGUAUUUUUGUUCUUCUGAAUUUCUCAAUGGUUUUACUUCCUGGUUUUUAUUUUUAGCUGGCUUUGUUAUUUCAUGUUUAUCUUAUGCAGUAGUUCUCCAGCUAGUCUAAAUCUGUUUGUUCAUGAUCCUUGGAGAGAUGGCUGGACACAUGAUAUAGAUUCUCCAAAUUUAGUAGCAGUAAAUUUCAGUAAACAGCAGUCAUCUGCUUUACUUUAGUUAUUAAUACUUCACAUUGCAAAAAAUGAAGUUCUCCCAGUCUUUUGCCAUGGUUAUAUGGGGUGUAUUGCUGACACAAUCAGGAAAUAGUCAACGUGCAAUUUUUUUUAAUGUCAAAGUGUGCUACCAAAACUCUAAAUUAGUGCUAGUUACCUCUGUUCAAAUAUUCAUCUUUUUGUUCAGAUAAUUAUUUAAAUCAUUAUUUGUGUGGGGUUUUAGGUGGAUUUGUUUUGUUUGCUUGUUUGGGUUUUUGGGGGUUUUUUUUGUUUGUUUUUUUUUUUUUACUCAAUUUUAUAAUAGUCUUAAAAAUAUUCAGCUGCUUGCUUGAGGGUAUGGAAGGACCUAUUACACAUGGGGAGUGUGUAUAAGCUUGAUCCUGGAUUACUGCACCUCUUUGAGGUGAAGUGAGGCAAAUUCAUUGUUGUGUUAGAGUUACUUAAUUUUAGAAAAAAAACAAACUCAUGCAAUGAAAUUGCUAGUUUGGAGAAAUAUUUUAUUAUUAUUAUUAUUUAUUUAAUUUUAUUUUUCCUUUUUAGAACUGCAUUCUUAAAAAGUAAUUAAAAAUCUGACUGUUACUUCAGGAGAAGAGCAAUCAAGUUCCAAUACUUUUUUUCAAAGAGCAUUCCUGACUUGUGUAUGUGAACUGCUUCUGUGGAAUUUCUGUUUUGCAUCUUCAGAAUCCUUUUUCCUCAGCAGAGCUCUUACUCUUAGGGACUUGAGAAAUAUAAUGGAGCUGCUUGCAUGAAUGAUUCCCAGCUUUUAUUGAGGUCUCCUUUGUCUGUCUGUCUGUCUCAUCCACAGAUGUAAGACACAAGGAUGGAGGUAGGAGAAGCAUUCUUGGUAACAACUGUAUUGACUUUAUGACCAAAACAUUAUGGUACACAACUUGGUGCAGACACUCCUGGAUUUCAGUACAUUCCUGGCUCAGCUAUCAGUACACUUCUUAUCUUAAACUUCCUCCUUUCAUCCUUUUCCUGUUCUACAACCCCCUCUCUCAUAUAGACUGUGUUCAAUUUAUGUGAUAAUUUGCUUAUUCUCCUUGCAGAUGAUAUCUAUUUUAAUAGCAUGUAGAAAACAUGCAGUCACAUUGUGUUGAAUUUUUGGGUUGGUUGGUUUCUUUUGGAGCAUUUUGUAGUAAAGUUUAAAAAAAAAGAGCAACAAGACACCUUCUAAAAUAAUUUUUAAAAACAAAUAAAACAAAAAAAACCCAAAACAUAAAAACACAACUCAAAACAGCCCAGAAUUUUGUCAUUCAUGCAAGAAUUCAUGUAAUUGUGUUCGUGUUUUGUAUGGGUGGGUGGAAUUACCUGUAAGUUUUCUUACUAAUGUACUUACUGCAGAAACUAGCAUAAUAGUUCUGCCAAGUCUUCAUUUCAUAGUGUGUAUGUAUUUUUAGAGUGGUUUAGUUAUGCAACAGGAAAAAAACCCUCCAUACUUAAGCUAGAACCUGAAAUCAAUCAGGCAAUUGAAAGGAUAGUAUCAGCUGAACACAUGGAAUUCCAAAUGAGGAAUUUGGCCUGAAUGUAAAAAUGAGAAAUGCACUUCCAAAGGUAUUAAAUGUUGCAGGUGUCUUAUUGAAAUAAUUUUCUUUCAAACUUUUAAGGUAAAUCUACAAGUACAAAGCAGUAUUUUUUCUUGCUAGAGAACAUUUUUCAUGUUUUUUUUCUUACUCUUAAAGUUGAAGUAAAUCUCUUACUGCUGGCUAGCAUUUUUGCUCACAUCUAUCUUUAUCUAUGCCUUUCACAUUACAUAUAUAUAUGUAUAUAUGGUGGAGAUUGUCUUUACUUUUUAUUCUCUUGGCUUAUGCCUAGCACAGUUUCUUUAGGGGGGAGACCAACUGUCAUGGCAUACAUUUACAGUAUAGGUUUAUUUUGACUUUGCACUCCUGCUUUAAUUCACCAAUGGUAAGUUGGGUAAGUCGUGCCUAUUUAAUUUAGUUUGCCUAGUUUAGCUGCCUGUUUUUAAAAACAAACAUAGGUAGUAAGAAGUGGGGUGGGGAUAAGUGUGAAUAUAGCUGAGCAUGUUUAAAACAUACCAGAAAUGGUUCUUUGAUGCAGUUCCUAAAGUUAACAUUCCUACCUGAAUAAACUAUAUAAAGUGUUGCUGCUGUUAUCUGUAAAUUUACACCAGCAAUCUCGCUUUAAUUGGCAUAUUUGUGGCAAUGGACUCUUCUAGCAGAUAUUGCCCUGCUGUAUUACUGUAGGAACAAAAAUAAGAAGGGAGGAAAGAAAAACUACCCAAUUUUUCCCCCCUAUGGCUUGCCAAAUCUCUUUUUGUGCUUACAGAUAGCCCUGUUAGUUUCCAGUUGUCUGUCAUGACCUGACUAGAAGGCUUAUUGCAAUGGAGUGGCGUGUUUGGGUCCAUGCUGUAUUUUUCUCUUGCAGGAGAGUCUUUCAUUGAGAUGAUUGAAAUUGCUGCACUGAGAAUGGAAAUUACUUGGGCUCCUUUCCUUUUAAAAGCUGCAUGCAAGAGCUGUGUGGUGAGUCAAAUGUAGACUAAUGGUUAUGUAAAUGUCUCUAAUUUUAGAUACAGAUCUGAAAGUGUGUUUCCUUUUAAGAAUUUAUUUUCUUCACUAUCAUGACUCAGUAUCACUUGCUAAUCUAAUUUUAUUAGCCCUGUUGUAUUUUACCAUUUAAAAUACAUAUACCUUGUUCAAAUAGGUGUUCACAGAGUCAAGUUAAUAUAUCAUAUGCAUGUUUUAAAAGGAGCAGAAGCAGCUUAUCUUCACUCAAGAAUUGCUUUGAUUUUAGCCUUCAUGAGCCUGCUACUGGUGCAGUUGCACACAUACAAACAUGAUGUAGAUGAAUAUGAAUCCAAGUUGUUGUAAUUUGUAAGUUUGCAUUAUUUGACCAUAGUUCAGAAUUUAACACUGUUAAAAAUCACAUCUUGUUUACAACUGCUAUGGAUUUGAACUAGAAAAAUUACUAAUGGCUAAAAUUUCCAAUUUAGUUCAAACCUGAAUAGUUCUCAAUAGCACAGCUAUGCAGAAUUAGCCUACAGCUUUUCACAAAGAACACUUGUGUGCACAUUUACCUACUACAUUUCUCUUAAGAUACAAAGGUUGACUGCCUAUAAAAAAUAUCCUAUCUGGCUCAAAGUUGGAUAGCUUUCUCAUUGAGUUUCUGCAAGUAGCAGUGUAACUGCUAAAUAUUAGAGACCUGCACAUGAACUUCAGCCAUUUGAAGACUUAGAAAUUCUUGGAAAGACCUUAAAUGUUGCUGAUUUUUUCCAGCAUGCUGCAGCCUGGUACUUGCAGCAGGCCACCCAUCCAGUUGCUCUUGUAUAUUUAGUAUUUUAAUGUACCCAGGAUUUUUCCCAGGGACUUUUAUGAGUAGAUGUGAAUUUAAGGAGGUGAUCAGAGACUUGAGAGCAUACAACAAGUAAGUCUAUUUGUGUGGCUUUGUCAAAGUCCAGUGGCCAAACUGCUUGUUCCUGACAACUUCAUUGUGCUCAUGUUGGCCUUUGUGCAAAGAGUGAAACAGACUGUGCUUCCUUCUGGUUCACCAUGCAAACUCCUAUCACUGGCACAAGGGCAGGAAAUAGCAGGGAGCAGGAAGAAGCAGAAGGGCAAAGGUUGGAGCGCCUUGUUCGGUGGCCCUAGCGGCUUAGAAUAGUUCAGUGACAUGGUGAAAACACAGUUUGAGCAUUUGCAGAACCAGAGUUCAACUGAGGAACCAAAGUUCCUGUCAGGAUUAAGAAAACUACUUCAAGUGCUUAUGUAGGCCUACUCAAAUGAUUCUGUUCUUAAACCUUUGAAAAGGAUGUGACAUUUCUUACAUGGUUCACAGGUGGCUUAAUAUUAGCAGUUCAGAGGUUUGCUUGUAUGGGUGGUGCCAGAGACUGUGGCUGGAUCAAACUCAUUUUGUGUUGCAGCUCUGGGGUCCUAAGGACUGUGCCUGAUGUAAGAAAGGAAAGCUCAGUGUUUUUAGUUCAGGUGCUUAUUUUCUGCUAGGUAGGAACUGUAUGGGGAAAAGAUACUUAAUUCACAUAAAAAAAGUGAGAAAAGAUAGGUCUGCUUGAAAAUAAACUAAGACUAAUAGCUGUAUGUGAGUGAAGACAACUAGUGCUAGGAGCAUGUCUAAAAAUGUGAUGUUAAAAGGUUAGGGCUGAGAACAGGUAGAGGAAGGACAGACCUGAUGAACUGGAAAAUCAGAAGGAUUGAAAUACAUUGGGCAAAGAUUUGGGGGUUUGAUUAUUUAUUGAAAUUGGAAGAAGCAGCAUCCUGACAGAGGGGAUCUGGCAUGAAGCAAAGAGAAUCAGUCAGGCUUAGGGAAAGGGACUCAUCCCUCAGAUGAUCCCUCAAUCCUCAGAUGAUUCCUAACAUUCAUUGGAGUGCUUUGCACUUCAGAUCCAGAAGGGAAUGCAGACUGUUUAGUAGCUUUUGCUGUCAUAUAGGAAAUCACUGUCAAUUUCAUCCCCCUCAUCAUAUUCCACAAAGAGGGCAGGCCUAUUACGACCCUGAGCUACUUCAUGGAUUUUGGUCCUGAAAAGAAAUCCCAAAGUAAGUAGUUGAGGUUGUAAGGGAAAGCUCUAGUUCAAACAGGGUCAUUUCUUUAAGGCUUGUCCAGUCAAUUUUGAAUAUAUUCAAGGAUGGAGACUCUGCAUCCUACCCUGUUCAGCUACAAUUUCAUGUAGUUAAUUUCUUACUGGUUGCCUCUUGUCCUGUCUCUGGACACAACUGAGAAGAGCCCUGACUAUGUCUUCUUUACUCUCCCAUACCCCCACCAGCAGGCAUUUAGGAACAUUGCUGAGAUCACACAAACACAAGCCUUUUCUUCUCCAGGCUGGAGUCUCAGCUCACUCAGCCUUUCUUCAUGUGAAAGAUUCUUCAGUUCUCUCAUCGUCUUUGUGGAAGUAAAUAAAAUGCUUCAUCUAAUAAGGGGAAUUAGAAUUCAAAGGAGAAAACGUUUUUUGGGGGGGGGGGAUGAAAAGCCAAAGCACAAGCUAAUAACUGUAAAAAGAACAAGAAGAUCACAAAAUGAAACAUGAAUAAGUUAGAUAACUCCUGCUUUAAGAUUCUGCAAUCUUCAUUUGCCCCCUUGUGUCAGUAUAUUAUGAAGCAAUUUUCAUGAUCACACACAAUGUUUAAUGUAUUGAUAGGGUCAGCCUGUUGUGGUGCUGGGCCAGGGAAGAUGUUUGUGGGCUCUGCAAGCAAGAAGCCUGAUGUUGUUACAGGCGCUUCAGAAACUGGUAAAAAACUCUGUAGCCAAUGGAACAAAUGGCUGCAAAUAGAGGAAACCAUGUCUUCAUGGUUAUAUCAAGUGAGAAUUCCUAAGAAUUUGAUGUGAUGUUUAUUUUUCUGCCUUUAUUCUCACGUGAUGCUGGACAAGUAACCAGGCCAUUGUUUCUGUAAUGCAUAUAUUGUGCUUUACUUUAGAGGUGUCUGAUUUAAGACUCUUGUGAGAGAAACACUGGUGGUUCACAUUGGUAGCUGAGCUUCUUAGGAGUUGUCAUUUGAAUUGAAAUACUCUGUAAAGUUAUGUCUGCUGACAGUCUCCUGUCUUCUUAAAAGGAACUUUAGACUGUUGCAUACUAUGAUAGUUUCUACACCUCCUUGUCACAUUUAAAAUGGGAGUAAUGGACACAUACCUUGAAGGGCUGUUGGCUACUUUGUUUAGUAGCUGUACUUACAGUAAUGCAUGUCCUCAUGAAAUUUUCUAUGGCACUUAGUAAUUCUGAUUUUGGAGGAAGAGGUGAGUACCGUGCAUUUUUUAAAGGCCAGAUCUGCAAUCAACUUAUCAACUGUUAUCAGCUCAGGCUGGGAAGCAGAGUUUCUGUGCUUUUAUUCAUGGUCUAUUUCUGCAGUCCUGUGAACGACAAAAUAUUCUGAUUUGUGUCCUGUCUUGACACUGAUUCAUUUUGCAAAUAUAACUCAUUAUUAAGUACUUGUGUGUGUCAUUUUUUGCUUGUCGUCUUUGUAAGCAACAUCAUCAACAUUCUGCAAAAUCUUCCAUAUACUAAAGGUAAUGUACUUGUUUGAACUUCAGCAUAUUUGACAAUAAAUUUACCUGUGAAGAUCUAUUUUCCAGAAACAAUGAACUAGUUUAAUUGUAACAAUUUCUUAAUGUACAGUGGUAAGCACUGCAUCUCUAAAAAUGUAAAGUGACUUAUACCAAAGUAUUUAGGACUUCUAACAGCCAUUUUCUUCAAAUUUCAAAGGCAGUUUUCUUGAUACUGCCUAUGGCAGGCACACUUUGCUAAGAGUGGUCUGUACUAGAAAUUUGGAUACAGCGAUCUGAAAAUGUUUCAGCUUUUCCCUUAGUCAUGGUAUCUUGUUAAGUAUUGGGGAAAGUCUCUUCUAAUUAGGUAGCUGCAGUAGCAGUUGAAAUUUGAAGUGUUUAGACUUUUCCUUUAUCUUUAUCACAAUCUAUUGUCACAGAAAUCACAAGAAAUUAUAGAAAUACACCCAGAGUGGUGAGCUGAUAAUGUACCACUUUAACAGCAGCAGCAAUUCUUCAUGUGGAAAACAAAGACAUUUAAAAUGUACUUGAAAGAAAACUUAUGUCUCAGAUAUAUGCAAGUCUCCUUUCUAAGGUGGCAGUUGUGUGUAUCACAAUAAAAUAUUCAGCUAUAAAUAAAUAAGGGAAAAAUGAUGAAAAAUGCAAUGGCGUGAGUAACAUUGUUCAUCUUUCUGUGAGUGGGAUAAUAAUCAUCGGAGUACUUUUUUACUCUAAAUAGUUUAUUCUGUUGGAAGUUAUUUAAUGGUCAUCAGGUGCAACUCUUAUUUUUUUCCACAUUUUAUUCACUUAUAGCUGUGUUUGUUAAUAAAUAAAAUUAAAUUUGUUAUAUU
Molecule: long non-coding RNA, 10968 nt
Organism: Parus major (Great Tit)
Lineage: Eukaryota; Metazoa; Chordata; Aves; Passeriformes; Paridae
Exons: 5
Source: RefSeq, a predicted model, not a curated record